RNAcentral lists this long non-coding RNA (2242 nucleotides) under Lynx pardinus (Iberian lynx). Lineage: Eukaryota; Metazoa; Chordata; Mammalia; Carnivora; Felidae. The record is from RNAcentral.
AGCUGCUUUCUGUCUGGGAGUCCCAGGACAACAACUUGGACGGGAUUCUGAGCUGGGAGGAAAAGGGAAGGAGAAGAGGUGGACAGUUUCCCUCUCAGGUCCUGUCUUUCUGGGUAUUCUUGCAAGCCGCUUCCCCGGGACUGUCCUGGGGACCCAAGGCAUGGAGCUGAGCUGACCACGGGAGCGGAGAUCGGGACUGAGGUGAGCAGGAAGUGGAGGACUGGAUGUGCCUUCGCAGUGCCUGAGAGGUGCCUCAGAGGGGCUGGAGGGCUGAGUCCCAGGUGGCAAAGCUUUGCAGAAGUGUGUGUGUCUGUGGUACAAAAACCUGGGACCGGAGGAAAGUCUGAUGCUUGGGACUCUUAGGACAAGGGGCAUCACCCCAGCUUCCCCAAACCAUGCUCAGGGACCAUCCUGGGAAAGUACAGAGAUCGGGGGCUGGCCCCAGACAAGCGGGGAAAGAGGGGUGGUCACCUGACUGACAGGGAGGGGAAGCAGACAGUGCCCAGCGAUGUGGGAAGGGAGAGCAGACAGGAGAAAGCUUGGGCAUUCCUGAGGCCCCAUGACCUGCAAUUAGCCACGCAGAUGAGGGGUUUCUGCCCUCCCCCACAGGUGGGGCAGGGCAAGCAGGGAGCCAACUGUCUCCCAGAAGGAGGAAGCAGCCUCAGCUCGGGGUGCCGGGGAGGCAUGAGCAUGCUUGUGCCAGGGAAGGGCAACGAGGGAGCCGCCGGGAGGUGCAGGCGGCCACCAGCUGAAGCGAGCAGCCCACAGGGUGUGAAGGACUAGACGGAGUCAGGUUUUGGUGCCAUGCACACAGGUAUGUGUGUGCAAAGGGACGUGACGGGAACGGCACCAGUGUGUGUACGGAAAAAGGAACUGGUAUGUGGGUGUGGGCUGCAGCAGGGGCUGGGGCAUCCCAUUCGCCCCCGUAGCCGGGGCUGGCCCGGGAGGGUGAUGGGCUGCACUGGGAUCCCGGCGGCACACGGGGGGCGGCAUUUCCCCACCUGUCUGCUCCUCCGCUAGCCCCCGGCCAGGCCUCCGUCUUCAUGCCCAGCUCCUGAACACGGUUAAUUCCGGACUUGCUAGGCCUCUUGAAGAUUUCCUCGAUGGGCAGACUGAGCCCAGUGUGGGUGUAGGUGUCUUUGCUUCUGGAGGGCAUGGAUGUGCGGUGAGCUCCAAUCCGUGCCCCGUGCCCUGCUCCAGCUUAGCGGGGGUGGGAAGGUGGUGCGAGCGGCUGGAGAGCUGACCGAGACGGGUGGACCCUUGGGAAGGGGGGGAUCUCUGGAAGGCAUCUCAACUGUGGAUGACACCGUUGUUUAUUCCUAGCACACAGCGGGGGGGGGGGGGGGGGGGCGGGUAGAAGGGUACCGUGGAGACGGGGUGAGGGAGGCGGAAAGGUGGGGCGUGCCAUCCUCCUGGCUUCUUAAAAGUCACCCCAGAAGGAGAGCUCUGUACGGCUUGUUUUUGUGUCUGACAUCCUCCUGGACACUUCUUCCCUGAGUCUAACUUGAAUCGCACUUGCUGCACUGUCAGCCUGUUUCCCCUUGGCUUUGCCGUGGCUCUAGGCCAGCUUUCCUUCUCACAUGCUCUUGCUUUCAUUCUGCCAUUCCGGUUUUUCAUUCUAACACACAAAUUAUGAUCUUCCCAGUAACCUUUAAACAUUAAAAAAAAAAUGUCAUUAUCAGCUCAUCAAUGUAUGUUCUCUUGUCUCCCUUCCCCCAUCCCGAUACAACCCAAACCCUGUGCCCGAGCCGGGCUCUCAGAUUUGCUUCCUCAUCCUGCACUCGCCUCUGGUUUCCCCUCCGUUUACUCCUUUGCCCCAGCAGGUCUCCCCUCCUUCAACUGUCCAGGACAGCUGGGCCCUGGAAUAGCUGCUUUUGGUCUGCGAAGUAAGGCUUGUCCCUUGACCACCCCCUUGGUGACCUGUGUGCUCGGGCUCACCCUGAGCUGAGCUACACUAUAGCUCUUGGUACUUGGUACUUGGUCAGGCAAAGGCAAAAAUCUCUCCUUGUCUUUCAUGGAUCUUAUUUUUACUCCCCACCCUCCCAAUGCCCUUGUUGAACAGGGAUCAUUCUCUCUUCCAGGGAGACUUAAAGCCCAGAGAGGAGGUGUGAUUUGCCUAAGGUCACACAGCAAGUUAGAGACUCAGCUCCACUGCUUAGUGUAUUGGUAAGUUUAUUCAAAUCAUUCAAAAAUAGUUUUCCUGAACACCUGGUGGGUGUCAAGUCCUGUUCCUUAGCCUCUC